AUUAGUAGCUCACGUGGCUCAUCUCACUUCUUGCGUACAUACAAAAGGAAACUCUGAAUAGCUCUAAUUCUUCUCUAGGAAUUUUGGAAUUUAGUCAAAGGGCAGACAGCUGUGGAUGACGAUUAUGGAACAGAUGAGCCAAGCCCUGCCAUUUUUGUCAUUCUGCUGGACAUUCACACCAGGCUGUUUUUUGUUGGCUCAACAUAGUGGUCUUCAUCUCUCCUCAGUCAGUGUAUCUAUGCAGACACACAAUAUCUAUCCACCUGCCUUUGACCACACUGUUACAUGUUUUGGCUUCUCAGUGGUUAACCCUACACCAGAAGAUCAUUAACUGCAGGUGUGAGAACCGGAGGCUGAAAACACAGCCUUGAAAGCGCAAACUGCACCUCAAUGCUGCUGGAGUAAUGCCUGCAGGGGCAACGUUUAGCACAUGGGCUGUGGGAAAAGUUGCCAUAUGCAAGAACUUGGAGGAAACUUACCUCUUGCCUUGAUCCCACCAGCCUGCAGAGUCUGACCCUGGGGUCUAGGGCUGUGCUCAUGAUUUUGAAGUCUUCCAGCACAAGAAAGCAACUUUUACUUAAGCACCUCUGGAUCAAGGCUAGGCAACCAGAUGAAAGCAGUUCAGUUACUGAACCUGUUUUCACUUUCAAAACUGAUACAGCUGUGAAACACCUCAAAAUGAAAUAAAGCUCUUCUGUUCUCACA
Molecule: long non-coding RNA, 705 nt
Filed under: Anas platyrhynchos platyrhynchos (common mallard)
Lineage: Eukaryota; Metazoa; Chordata; Aves; Anseriformes; Anatidae
Description: lncRNA (ENSAPLG00000025629.1)
Source: RNAcentral